GACCAGUAUGGUGUAAAUAACACAAUAAGUUGUAAACUUAGAGAAGCUUUUGCUUUGGUUU
RNAcentral lists this transfer RNA (61 nucleotides) under Gammarus duebeni. RNAcentral describes it as "tRNA-Tyr". The record is from RNAcentral. Lineage: Eukaryota; Metazoa; Arthropoda; Malacostraca; Amphipoda; Gammaridae.